This is a long non-coding RNA of Nothoprocta perdicaria, 751 nucleotides long. RefSeq lists it as uncharacterized. The transcript is spliced from 2 exons. The record is from RefSeq and is a predicted model, not a curated record. Lineage: Eukaryota; Metazoa; Chordata; Aves; Tinamiformes; Tinamidae.
CGGCCCGAGGGGGCAGCGUGGAGCUCUCAUGGCCUUGCUUAGCCUGAUUCAAGGAGUGGAGUACACUACUCACAGGAACUAAAAAGAAGGUAAACUAUUCACAGCCCAGCAAAUGAAAAGGCAUGCUUCCCUGCAACUGUGUGCUGCUACUUCUGUAAAAAUGCAUGACAAAAUAUAACUCAAACAAGAUGUCUGUGCUACUUUGUGAUCCGAAACRUUACUGGAAAAUUCUGCAAAUAUUUGACAUUUAAACAGAUCUGUGUACAUAGUGACUGGAUUCCUUUGGCGGGAUUUGUGUUAUGUCUGCUGCACCUGGGAAUCAAACAGCAGUGGACCAGCUGUCCGGGAGUCUAGGCUCAGGUUAGGGAAACUGACUGAUAGGUUCCCCAGGCAUCUGAUAUAUGAAGAAAUUCCACCAAUGUGGGAGAAAUUGUGGUUGUUAAGAGUUUCACUUGCUCUGUAGCCCUUCUUUGUUGUUCUGUCUUCUGUCUCCAACUAGCUUGCGUAGUGCUGAACCCAUCCUGUUCCUCCACUGCUCCUCUGUCCUUGAUUUUACUUCAUUGAAUGGAUUCCCUUUCCGUUUAAAAGGUCUGUCUGAUGGUGUUUCUGGUAUCUGAGUGUGACCUGAGUGACUGAAGAAUUUCUUUUCGUGCUCUAGUCCUACGUUAGCUCUUUGGCUGCUUUAUAUCUAGCUUGGUCCACAGGCCUAGUGCAAAGUUCUCCUGAUAGAAGUGAAGGGAAAAUGUGCAUC